Molecule: long non-coding RNA, 601 nt
Filed under: Homo sapiens (human)
Lineage: Eukaryota; Metazoa; Chordata; Mammalia; Primates; Hominidae
Description: novel transcript
Source: RNAcentral
CCACUGGACUAAAUACAAUUUUUGUAUCACUAUAUUUUAACCGUGAAAAUCACAUUUGGCUGAGAAUAAUCUCUUCUUGCCUAUUUCUACCAGUUUGUCUUCUAGCAGGACAAGGAAAAGUGAAAAGAGACAAAAGCUCCAGAAUCUUUGGACCAUGAGGCCCAGAGAGAAGAGCUUAAUACAGCCUCCCAAACAGUUGGAGUGAAAGGAAUCCUGUGAAGGACACAAGUGAAGAAGCCCGUGAUAACCUGCUGAAUAAAGAGAGAUCUGUGGUCCAGUCACCCCUACUGCUUCCGCCAAUAGCCUAAGAAAUGCUGGAUAAGUGAGUGAGGCUAUCCUUGGUCAUCUCUGCUAGCUGACUGGCAAGCUGACUACAACAGCAUAAAAGAACCCAAUGGAAUUGGAGAGCUAAUGACCCAUAAAACUCAGAGUUGAUAUUUUAAAGUGCUUUAUAGUUUUCUUUUUAUAUAUGCACCACUAUAGUGUCCAUUUUCAAAUUAUUCAUCUGUUGAUUCCUAGGGAAAAUUAAUAGUCUAUAACAUAAAGUUCCUUUAAAACUUGGAUAUGAAGUCUUUGUAGUGUUACCUUUUUUUAGCAGUGG